UACGUAGGGUCCGAGCGUUGUCCGGAAUUACUGGGCGUAAAGAGCUCGUAGGCGGUUCGGUAAGUCGGAUGUGAAAUCUCCACGCUCAACGUGGAGGGGCCAUUCGAUACUGCCGCGACUCGAGUCCGGUAGGGGAGUGUGGAAUUCCCGGUGUAGCGGUGAAAUGCGCAGAGAUCGGGAGGAACACCCGUAGCGAAGGCGGCACUCUGGGCCGGUACUGGACGCUGAGGAGCGAAAGCGUGGGGAGCGAACGAGGA
RNAcentral lists this ribosomal RNA (257 nucleotides) under uncultured bacterium. RNAcentral describes it as "partial 16S ribosomal RNA". It matches the Rfam family "Bacterial small subunit ribosomal RNA", at positions 524 to 778 of the family's 1533-position model. The record is from RNAcentral.